This 378-nucleotide ribosomal RNA is filed under the name uncultured Streptococcus sp. Its description in RNAcentral is "bacterial SSU rRNA". It matches the Rfam family "Bacterial small subunit ribosomal RNA", at positions 1000 to 1382 of the family's 1533-position model. Lineage: Bacteria; Bacillati; Bacillota; Bacilli; Lactobacillales; Streptococcaceae. The record is from RNAcentral.
CUAGAGAUAGAAAGUUACUUCGGUACAUCGGUGACAGGUGUGCAUGGUUGUCGUCAGCUCGUGUCGUGAGAUGUUGGUUAAGUCCCGCAACGAGCGCAACCCCUAUUGUUAGUUGCCAUCAUUCAGUUGGGCACUCUAGCGAGACUGCCGGUAAUAAACCGGAGGAAGGUGGGGAUGACGUCAAAUCAUCAUGCCCCUUAUGACCUGGGCUACACACGUGCUACAAUGGUUGGUACAACGAGUUGCGAGUCGGUGACGGCGAGCUAAUCUCUUAAAGCCAAUCUCAGUUCGGAUUGUAGGCUGCAACUCGCCUACAUGAAGCCGGAAUCGCUAGUAAUCGCGGAUCAGCAUGCCGCGGUGAAUACGUUCCCGGGCCUU